UUGUCCCAAACAGGACAGCGCCA
RNAcentral lists this non-coding RNA (23 nucleotides) under Rattus norvegicus (Norway rat). The record is from RNAcentral. Lineage: Eukaryota; Metazoa; Chordata; Mammalia; Rodentia; Muridae.